GGAACGGGGUGGUUGAGGGAGGGAACGGGGUGGUUGAGGGAGGGAACGGGGUGGUUGAGGUUGGGAACGGGAUGGUUGAGGUUUGGAACGGGGUGGUUGAGGUUGGGAUCUGGGUGGUUGAGGUUGGGAACAGUGUGGUUGAGGUUGGGAACAGGGUGGUUGAGGUUGGGAACGGGAUGGUUGAGGUUGGGAGGGAACGGGGUGGUUGAGGUUGGGAACGGGGUGGUUGAGGUUGGGAACGGGAUGGUUGAGGUUGGCAACGGGGUGGUUGAGGUGGUGAGGUUGGGAACGGGGUGGAUGAGGUUGAGAACAGGGUGGUUGAGGUUGAGAACGGGGUGGUUGAGGUUAGGAACAGGGUGGUUGAGGUUGGGAACGGGGUGGUUGAGGUUGGGAACAGGGUGGUUGAGGUUGAGGUUGGGAACGGGGUGGUUGAGGUUGGGAACGGGAUGGUUGAGGUUGGGAACGGGAUGGUUGAGGUUGGGAACAGGUUGGUUGAGGUUGGGAACGGGGUGGUUGAGGUUGGGGUUGGGAACGGGGUGGUUGAGGUUGGGAACGGGAUGGUUGAGGUUGUGAACGGGGUGGUUGAGGUUGGGAACGGGGUGGUUGAGGUUGGGAACAGGAUGGUUGAGGUUGGGAACAGGGUGGUUGAGGUUGGGAACGGGGUGGUUGAGGUUGUGAACGGGGUGGUUGAGGUUGGUAACGGGAUGGUUGAGGUUGAGAGGGAAUGGGGUGGUUGAGGUUGGGAACGGGAUGGUUGAGGUUGUGAACGGGGUGGUUGAGGUUGGGAGGGAACGGGGUGGUUGAGGGAGGGAACGGGGUGGUUGAGGUUGAGGUUGGGAACGGGAUGGUUGAGGUUUGGAACGGGGUGGUUGAGGUUGGGA
This is a long non-coding RNA of Oncorhynchus tshawytscha (Chinook salmon), 881 nucleotides long. The record is from Ensembl. Lineage: Eukaryota; Metazoa; Chordata; Actinopteri; Salmoniformes; Salmonidae.